ACAAUUAGUCAUUGACACAUCACUAGGCAAUAAGCAAUAUAACAAUGCAUACAACAAAAUGACAAUAAUUACAAGUAGAAAAGUAGCAAGGUUAAAGGGACACUAUACUCACCAGAACAACUACAGCUUAUUGAAUUUGUUCUGGUGAGUAGAAUCAUUACCUUCAGGCUGUUUGCUGUAAACACUGUCUUUUCAGAGAAAAUGCAGUGUUUACAUUACAGCCUAGUGAUAACUUCACUGGCCACUCCUCAAAUAGCUGUUAGAGAUCCUUCCUGGGUCAUGGAUACCUAAAAUGCUUCCAAACGUUCAGUAUCUCCUCCCUCUGCAUGCAGACACUGAACUUUCCUCAUAGAGAUUCAUUGAUUCAAUUCAUCUCUAUGAGGAGAUGCUGAUUGGCCAGGGCUGUGUUUGAAUCAUGCUGGCUCUGCCCCUGAUCUGCCUCCUUGUCAGUCUCAGCCAAUCCUAUGGGGAAGCAUUGUGAUUGGAUCAGACUUCCACUUCUGAUGAUGUCAGCAGACUGCUUGUUUUUCUGAGUCUAACAGCAUGCAGAGUUACAGCUUCUGGCAUGAAUACAGUAUGAUUUUGCUAUAUUUAUGGAGGCAUGAGGGGCCCAAGGGGGCUAGAUGGUGGUUUUAACACUAUAGCAUCAGGAAUACAUGUUUGUGUUCCUGACCCUAUAGUGAUCCUUUAAUCUAGUGAGGGGGGUAAUGAGGAGAUAUGGCAAAGACUUCACACAAUUUGUAAAUGUAGUCACACUGCCAGUUACAUUAGGAUGGCAUUUAUCUAAAUUAUGUAAUAUCUAAUUGGGGUAUUAGUAUAUUAAGCAUGUAUCAGCCCCAUCUGGAGUUAAGUAGUGUAUUAUUGGUUAAAGUGGUCAAAUAGUAUAUUUCAAAAUUUACUGCCUGAAAAAAUCUACCCUCCUCGACCAGUAGCCCUGGUCUAAAUUCUCAAAUUGUCUAUUCUCACAUAUAACAAAUAGUUAGCUAACUACAGAUGGACAGAAACCAACAGCCACGCCAUGGCAAUUCAAUGUUUGCUGACUUUUGUGCAUAUACAUCUUAGCACAGUUACUAAAAGGACACUAGAACUCUUAUAUUUCAUAUUAAAUUGGUAGUGCACAGUCAACAAACAUAAAAAGAGUGAUAUACUAAAUUGUGAAUUGUCUUAACAUGAAAUCAAC
Pelobates cultripes (western spadefoot toad) is the source of this 1180-nucleotide non-coding RNA. The record is from the annotation of a GenBank genome assembly. Lineage: Eukaryota; Metazoa; Chordata; Amphibia; Anura; Pelobatidae.